CCUACGGGUGGCAGCAGUGGGGGAUAUUGCACAAUGGGGGAAACCCUGAUGCAGCGACGCCGCGUGAGUGAAGAAGUAUUUCGGUAUGUAAAGCUCUAUCAGCAGGGAAGAAAAAAGACGGUACCUGACUAAGAAGCCCCGGCUAACUACGUGCCAGCAGCCGCGGUAAUACGUAGGGGGCAAGCGUUAUCCGGAUUUACUGGGUGUAAAGGGAGCGUAGACGGCAAUACAAGUCGGAAGUGAAAUACCCGGGAUCAACCUUGGAACUGCUUUGGAAACUGUAUGGCUAGAGUGCUGGAGAGGUAAGCGGAAUGCCUAGUGUAGCGGUGAAAUGCGUAGAUAUUAGGAGGAACACCAGUGGCGAAGGCGGCUUACUGGACAGUAACUGACGUUGAGGCUCGAAAGCGUGGGGAGCAAACAGGAUUAGAUACCCCUGUAGUC
This 441-nucleotide ribosomal RNA is filed under the name uncultured bacterium. RNAcentral's name for it is "partial 16S ribosomal RNA". It matches the Rfam family "Bacterial small subunit ribosomal RNA", at positions 338 to 795 of the family's 1533-position model. The record is from RNAcentral.